This 478-nucleotide long non-coding RNA is filed under the name Setaria viridis. RNAcentral's name for it is "long non-coding RNA (SVIR_LNC004798)". The record is from RNAcentral. Lineage: Eukaryota; Viridiplantae; Streptophyta; Magnoliopsida; Poales; Poaceae.
UGAACGAAAGCCAAGGUGUGAAUCAUAAAGAAACACAUCCACAUGCUGGUGCCUUUACAGCACUCUGCAGCGAGCGAAGCAGAGCACCCUAGCCAGUGUUCUGCAUGCCGGCGGCGAUGCCCUUCAUGGUGAGGAUGAGCGUGUCCUCCAGCCCCGGCCCGUACUCGCUCGCCGGGUUGAGCUUCACAAUCCCGCGCGGCUGGUUCUCGUCGGCGAACUCCUUGGACAGCGGCGGCUGCGGCGUCACCUUGAAGUUCGGGUCCCUUAUCCUCUUCAGGGUGUAGGCCUGCCACACGUUAAGAAUGGUGAUGUAGGGGUCGCGCAGCCGCAGCUGCUGCUUCAGGCCGGGAUCGCUUUCAAGGAUUUCCUUGUGCCCAGCAACCUGCACAAAGAUGGUGAGUAGUCAGGAUUUCCUUGUGCCCAGCAAUCUGCACAAAGAUGAAAUUCAUUCAUAUGAGUUUUAAUUUAUUACCUGCAG